AGUAACUAUGACAUUUUCAGAUAAGGGGUCUCACGUGACCACCCGAGUCUUGGCAGCGUUCCGUAGGUGAACCUGCGGAAGGAUCAUUA
This 89-nucleotide ribosomal RNA is filed under the name Echinocatena arthrinioides. RNAcentral describes it as "partial 18S ribosomal RNA". Lineage: Eukaryota; Fungi; Ascomycota; Dothideomycetes; Venturiales; Sympoventuriaceae. The record is from RNAcentral.